This 4875-nucleotide long non-coding RNA is filed under the name Sus scrofa (pig). RNAcentral describes it as "lncRNA (ENSSSCG00035049861.1)". The record is from RNAcentral. Lineage: Eukaryota; Metazoa; Chordata; Mammalia; Artiodactyla; Suidae.
UAGAACAAUAGAAUUGAAUUAUAUUAUAUCAUGGAUUCCAUGAGUCAGGAAUUCAAGCAGGGCUCAGACAGGUGCUUCUUCUGUUCUCUAUGGUGUCACCUGAGGUCACACAAUGACACCCAGCUGGCAGAUGGCUGGUCUAGAGGGUCAAGGGUGGCUCCAUUCGUGUGCCCAGUGCCCUGGCGUGGGUGGCUGGAAGGCUGGACUCUGCUGGCACUUUUAACCAGAGCACCUCCCUAUGGCUUCUCCAGCAUGGUGACCUUGAGGUCAUUAGACCUCUUACGUGGCAGUGGGCUCCACCACCCUGGGAGAAGUGUCAAAAAAUAUUCUGCUUUUCACAACCACAACUCCUGAAGUACCUCUCUUGCUAGAGGAAAUACCAGCUCCAAGAGGAGUACAAUUUUACAAGAAGGAUUUAUCCCAGAAUUGCUGCUCCCCGAAAGGUGACCUGCUUCACUUUCAAUCUGGCUGAUUCUCAAAACACAGUUCCUAUGUCUGCUGUUCUUUGCAAAUAAGUCUCAUUCUUGUUCAUUACACGCAGACAUUCAGGACCAGAAAAACAAUUUUUUUCUUUGAACAUCGGUUUAUUGGGGAACACUUCCACACCCCAGGAGUGGGCAGGAGGAAGAAUGGCAGUGUGCCAGCCCCCCAGGACGGGUGAGACUUCCUGCCACACCCUGCCUCCCUGGCCCAGCAGAGACGGCUCAGACCCUGGCAGCUAAAUGUUUACCCAGAGUCUCAGAACUUUAAAGCCCAACAUAAGAUUACAGAGCUUUACUUUGAAGAAUUUGUUAUGGAAAAACAGAGCACAUUUCUCCUUACCCCACUUCCCACCCCGUUUUUUUGGGUUUUUGUUUUUGUUUUUGUUUUUGUUUUUGUCUUUUUAGGCCCACACACACAGCAUAGGAAGUUCCCAGGCUAGGGGUCAAAUCAGAGCUGCAGCUGCCAGGCUACACCACAGCCACAGAAACACCAGCCUUUAACCCACUGAGCGAGGCCAGGGAUCGAAUAUGCGUCCUCAUCGAUAUUAGUCAGAUUCAUUUCCACUGAGCCAUGACAGGAAUUCCCCCACCCCAUUUUCUUAAUCUAGAAAUACAUUCUAAGAGUCCCCAGGACCCAACUUGUUUGUUUUUUAAUUUUUUUUAUUAUAGUUGAUUUACAAUGUUCUGUCAAUUUCUGCUGUAUAGCAAAGUGACCCAAUUAUGCAUAAAUAUAUAUAUAUUUUUUCACAUUAUCCAUCAUGUUCCAUCACAAGUGAUCAGAUAUAGUUCCUUGAGCUAUACAGAAAAAUCUCAUUGCUUAACCAUUCCAAAUGCAAUAGUUUUCAUCAUUUGUUUGUUUGUUUGUUUGUUUUUUUUUUGGUCACACUUGCAGCAUAUGGAACUUCCCAGGCCAGGGAUUGAAGUCGCUGCAUUGACAACACCAGAUCCUUAACCCACUGUGCCACAGCAGGGACCCAAGCCGCUGCAGUGACAGCACCGGAUCCUUAACCCGCUGCACCACAGGAGAAAUCCAGGACUCAGAUUUUUUCCCAAUCAACCUGAGAUUCUGUACUGGGAAGGGGUGGGGGUCAGGGGGAGAGACUCAGGAGGUUAGAGGGAGUCUCUCCUAGAGAAAGAAGGAAUCAGGGAGAAAAGAGAAGGGCUGGCACCUGAGAAAAGAUGAAAAGAGACAGGAGGGCUGGUUGCCACCUUGGCUUUUUGAAGGAAAGCCGUUUUCUCCUCCAGGACCCACCCUCAUCACCCUCAGUCUAGGUUACUGGGUGCAGCUGAUUUCACACCUGCCCAAGGAGUCAUAUGAUCCAGGUCUAGCCAAUCAGUAUAUUCUCUCCUGCCGGCCACAGUGAUUGGUUCAGGUUUGGGCAUGUGAUCCAGGCAGUCCAAUGGGUUUCAACAUGGGAACUCCUGUUGGAAUUUGCUAAGAGGGGCAGAAAGCUUUCUCUCCUCUCAGCCCUAUAGGACAUAAGCCUGGAGCUGCAAGUAUUCAUCUUGGGGUCAUGAGAGGAGAAGGCAUCUGAGAAUGUGGUAGAUACAGAGGAGGGCAGAGCUGAUAUGGAGGCAGAGAACUGAUGACAUCAUGGAGCCCCGGGACCCAGCCACACUUAAAGUUAGUCCUAGCACUUGAGCUUUCAAAACUGUAAGCCAAGAUUAUCCUUUUUUUUCACUUGAGGAUUGGGGUUUCUCUUAUUUGUAGCCAGGAAAACCCUGAGUCAUGACUGAAAAAAGCAGACGCCAAAGAGAAUGAGACCAUGCUGAGCAGGUAAAUGGUGAGCAGGAAGGAUGAGACAGGCAAGCUCUGAGCCCAGAAAAUGAAAACUGGGGCCAAGCUGUCUCUUGCACUCUCCCCAAAACACAUAAUUUACAGUUUGAGCCAGAGAAAGAAAGAGUGGGAGGAAACAGAGGGAGGGCGUCCCGAGAUGAAGUUUGGAAAUUGUUCCAGGGCAUAAUGAAUUGACGAACAACUGUUUCUCCCCUGGAAGUCAUCUAAUGAAAUUAUAAGACCAUGCACUUACUGCUGUGAUGGCCGAGAGCAUGCUCCAAGAUGAUCAGCCGUGACAAGGAGCUGUCGCUUAGCUGGUAGUGCAUUUUAAGCAUCAUCUAAAGGGGACUUUACUUACCCACUUACGAAAGCCUUGGUUUGGGGACCAGGGCUUUUCAGAACGAGUUUGCACUGAUGUAAACGGCCACCGUGGCUUAGAAAGAACCGUAGCUCAUCAAUAGCAGUUAGGGCUGCCUGGCCGGACCCGACAGGCUCUCGCUUGCCUUGGCAGUGUGUUCAGCACCUAUUUGCCUGAUGAACCAGAACCAGUGCUCAGGGUAACAGGGUGGUGCUGGGCAAGGGCAACAGGGAGGAUCUGGAUUGGACACCGGAUGGAUGGAAGUCUUUCCUAGAAGUCAGUUCGCCAGUUUUCUCCUCCCCUCCUCUCUUUGGUCACCUGUGGGAGGUGACCAGGGGCACAGAACCUGGCAGCCCUGGCCAGUCCUAAUGCUCCCUGGAGCUGCUGUGAGGAGUUGGAAGGACAGGGGUGGGGAGGGAGACGACGGCACAAGGUGGCCUGCGGAGGAAGAGGGCAGCUGGCCAGCAGGUGCUGGGGUAUUUGAAGUGAUGCUCAGGCCAAGGCACUUUACAAGAGAGCCAGCACCGCAGGCAUUCGAGUGGCUGUUGUUCCAGGCCAUCUGUCUCUCAUUAAUGAAGUUGUCCAGCACGGCUUAUUAAUAAGGAUGCGUGGGCUUAGCCAGCCUGGGCCGUCUGCUGGAACUAAAGGGCAUGAUGAUUAAGCCUUAACGACUUCCUCAGGCACAGUCAGUAUGAAGUGGGCAUGUGGCUGGAGGAGAGGGCUGGGGUCCCAGGCCUGACCUGAGCCCUGGGAGGCAAGCUGGUCACCUGAGGAGGACGAGCCCAGUCCAGGGGUGGUCAACAACCAGGAGUCCCAACUACUCAUUCUGCCUGCUCAGAUUCCCACCUUCCUGACCACCCCCCUCCCCUUCCUCACCUACAGCCCCGGCUGAGGUGGGCAGAAUGAUGCCCCCCAUCCCGCCAAGGAUGCCAACAUCCCAGUCUCCAAAACCUACAAAAAUGUUAGGUUGUACAGCCAAGGGUAUUUAAGGCUGCAGAUGGAAUCAAGCUUGCCAAUGAGUAUAUGUUAAAAUAGGGGUAAUGAUGGAGUUCCCAUCAUGGCUCAGCGGAAACGAAUCUGACUAGGAACCAUGAGGUUGUGAGUUCAAUCCCUGGCCUUGCUCAGUGGGUUAUGGAUCCGGCGUUGCCGUGAGCUGUGGUGUACGUUGCAGACGCGGCUCGGAUCCCGCGUUGCUAUGGCUCUGGUGGAGGCCGGCGGCUACAGUUCCAUUUAGACCCCUAGCCUGGGAACCUCCAUAUGCCGCGGGGGCAGCCCUAAAAGGACAAAAGACAAAAAAAUAAAAUAAAAUAGGGACUGUGAGAAUGGAGGAAUUAACUACCUGCCCAGGCAGCAGGGGGCCCCUAGAAGAAGAAAGGCAAGGAAGGGGUGCCCCCCUAGAGACUCCUCAAGGAACUCUGCCUGUGGACACUCUGAUUCCAGCCCAGGGAGACCUGCAUCAAAAUUCUGACCCCUAAAACUAUAAUACACUUGUGUUAAGUCUGUGAUCAUUUGCUCCAGCAGCGGCAAGAAACUAAGCGAGGCAUAAUAUUGCAGGUUCUGUCCAGACCAGCACAACAAAGCUAGUCACAAGCAGUUUUUGGUUUCCCAGCACAUAUCAAGGUUAUGUUUACACUAUACUGUAGUCUGUAAACUGUACAACGUUAUGUCUAAAAAUAACAAUGUACAUACUAAAACUAAAAAAAUAUUUCAUUGCUAAAAAUGCUGUCAUCUGAAAAAUACUUUAUUGCUAAAAAAUGCCGUCGUCUGAGCCUUCAGCGAGUCAUAAUCUUUUUGCUAGUGGGGAUUUGAAAUAUUGUAAGAAUUAUCAAAAUAUGACAUGGAGACAGGAAGUGAGCAAAUGGCACCAAUAGAUCUGCUUGAGCAGAGUUGCCACAAACUUUCAACUUGUAAAAAUGAAAAAAAACAAAAACAAAAAUGCGGUAUCUAGGAAGCACAAGAAAGCAAAGCGCAGUAAAAUGAGGUCUGCCCUUACAAAAAGGUCAUAGGUCGUCUUUAAAAACACUCAGUGAGUUCCCGUCGUGGCGCGCAGUGGUUAACGAAUCCAACUAGGAACCAUGAGGUUGCGGGUUCGGUCCCUGCCCUUGCUCAGUGGGUUAACGAUCCGGCAUGAGCUGUGGUGUAGGUUGCAGACGCGGCUCGGAUCCCACGUUGCUGUGGCCGGUGGCUACAGCUCCGAUUCAACCCCUAGCCUGGGAACCUCCAUAUGCCACGGGAGCGGCCCAAGAAAUAGCAACAAC